This 140-nucleotide ribosomal RNA is filed under the name uncultured eukaryote. RNAcentral describes it as "partial 18S ribosomal RNA". It matches the Rfam family "Eukaryotic small subunit ribosomal RNA", at positions 1299 to 1458 of the family's 1831-position model. The record is from RNAcentral.
UGGUGGAGUGAUUUGUCUGGUUAAUUCCGUUAACGAACGAGACCUCGACCUGCUAAAUAGUUGUGCUAAUUCUUGUAAUUUGUACUAACUUCUUAGAGGGACUAUCGGUGUGUAGCCGAUGGAAGUUCGAGGCAAUAACA